This 352-nucleotide long non-coding RNA is filed under the name Panax ginseng (ginseng). RNAcentral's name for it is "long non-coding RNA (PGIN_LNC014427)". The record is from RNAcentral. Lineage: Eukaryota; Viridiplantae; Streptophyta; Magnoliopsida; Apiales; Araliaceae.
CAAAGACCAAUAGGGCGGAAUACCCUUCUCAGUCAAUCAAUCAGGAAAAUGGCUGUUGGGUCUUCAUCUACUCUGCUUCGACCAUAAUCCCGAAGACCAAUAGGGCAGAAUACCCUUCUCAGUCAAUCAAUCAGGAAAAUGGCUGUUGGGUCUUCAUCUACUCUGCUUCGACCAUAAUGCCAAAGACUAAUAGGGCGGAAUACCCUUCUCAGUCAAUCAAUCAGGAAAAUGGCUGUUGGGUCUUCAUCUACUCUGAUUCGACCAUAAUCCCGAAGACCAAUAGGGCGGAAUACCCUUCUCGGUCAGUCAAUCAGGAAAAUGGCUGUUGGGUCUGCUUCGAUCCCGAGGAAGG